This 417-nucleotide long non-coding RNA is filed under the name Glycine max (soybean). Its description in RNAcentral is "long non-coding RNA (GMAX_LNC000880)". Lineage: Eukaryota; Viridiplantae; Streptophyta; Magnoliopsida; Fabales; Fabaceae. The record is from RNAcentral.
CCGGUAAGUACAGCAAAAAGAGAUAAAAGAAAACCAUGUUUCCAAAUGUAGAAAAUCCAUAAGAUCUUACAGAAACCAAGCCUUGCAAAUAGAACUUGAAAAAGACAAAUCAACACAAUACCAUUCUAAAAAAAAAAAAGUGCCCCACAGAGAUAAAUUUUCAAGCAAUUCAGAAUCCAAAUAAUUGUUGAAACACAUAAUCUCCACCGUCAAGGUUCUUCCUUCAGAACUACAUUGCUAGGUUAAAGUGCGAAAUCCCCUAUUCGUACCGAAACCUCUGCUACGCAAACACUUGAUCCACUCGAACUCUAAAACCAUGCAGUGGUGUGAAUCUCUGAUCUGCCAAGAAUGACCGGAAGUCGAAGAAGUACCGUUUUGGAUUCAGAGCGAUAUCCCUCUCCGAUGCCAACGUCAAUU